This 636-nucleotide ribosomal RNA is filed under the name Triticum aestivum (bread wheat). Its description in RNAcentral is "partial small subunit ribosomal RNA". Lineage: Eukaryota; Viridiplantae; Streptophyta; Magnoliopsida; Poales; Poaceae. The record is from RNAcentral.
AUGAAAGGAAACCAGCAAGGUGUCCAAAGGAGACUUUUGAAUGUAAAUCCUAGAGCAUUCUAUUCUGCUUGUGGUUGUCAUAGCCUUAAUUUGACACUUUGUGAUAUGGCUAAGACUUGCGGUAAAGCUAAAGACUUCUUUGGAAUCAUCCAGCGCAUAUAUACGACUUUUGCUAAUUCUACUAAGAAAUGGCAGAUUCUGAAAAAUAACAUAACAGGAUUAACUCCCAAGUCAGUGUCAGCUACACGCUGGGAGAGUCGUGUUGACAGUGUUAAAGCUAUUCGACUCCAAUGUGCAGACAUUCGGGAGGCCCUACUUCAAGUAUCUGAGACUGAUAAUGAUACAAAAACGAGCAGUGAGGCUAAAAGUUUGGCAAAUAAUGAACUUGGAGAACAUGAAUUUAUAGUGGCGAUAGUCAUUUGGUAUGAGGUAUUGUAUGCUGUUAAUUUAGUAAGCAAACACUUGCAAGCAAAGGAUAUGCUUAUUGAUGUUGCUAUUGAGAAAGUGCAAGGAUUGCUUUCUUUCUUCAAGGGUUACAGGGACACUGGUUUUUUAGAAGCAUUUCGUAAAAGACAAGAAAUUAAAAGAAAGAGACAUUUUGAUGAGAACCCAGAUGAUGCAAAUGUUGCCACAUAG